Molecule: ribosomal RNA, 301 nt
Filed under: uncultured bacterium
Lineage: Bacteria
Description: partial 16S ribosomal RNA
Rfam family: Bacterial small subunit ribosomal RNA
Source: RNAcentral
CAGUCGCCGCGGUAACACGUAGGGUGCGAGCGUUAAUCGGAAUUACUGGGCGUAAAGCGUGCGCAGGCGGUUGUGUAAGACAGGUGUGAAAUCCCCGGGCUUAACCUGGGAACUGCGCUUGUGACUGCACAGCUAGAGUAUGGCAGAGGGGGGUGGAAUUCCACGUGUAGCAGUGAAAUGCGUAGAGAUGUGGAGGAACACCGAUGGCGAAGGCAGCCCCCUGGGCCAAUACUGAUGCUCAUGCACGAAAGCGUGGGGAGCAAACAGGAUUAGAUACCCCCGUAGUCCCUGUCUCUUAUAC